AUACGGAGGGUGCAAGGGUUAUCCGGAAUCAUUGGGUUUAAAGGGUCCGUAGGCGGGCGAUUAAGUCAGAGGUGAAAUCCCACAGCUCAACUGUGGAACUGCCUUUGAUACUGGUUGUCUUGAGUUACAGUGAAGUAGAUAGAAUGUGUAGUGUAGCGGUGAAAUGCAUAGAUAUUACACAGAAUACCGAUUGCGAAGGCAGUCUACUAACUGUAUACUGACGCUAAUGGACGAAAGCGUGGGGAGCGAACAGGAUUAGAAACCCUAGUAGUCC
This 274-nucleotide ribosomal RNA is filed under the name uncultured bacterium. RNAcentral describes it as "partial 16S ribosomal RNA". It matches the Rfam family "Bacterial small subunit ribosomal RNA", at positions 523 to 796 of the family's 1533-position model. The record is from RNAcentral.